GCGCAGCCUUUGAGCCCCCGCCGCGCCUGUGCGGGGCGCUGGGGGUUAAGCUGAGCGCCAGGGCACUUGCUGACCGGUAACUGGGCCCCCCACCCUGCAAACAGCGCUGUUAACCUGGAGGACAAGG
Molecule: small nucleolar RNA, 127 nt
Filed under: Dasypus novemcinctus (nine-banded armadillo)
Lineage: Eukaryota; Metazoa; Chordata; Mammalia; Cingulata; Dasypodidae
Source: RNAcentral